RNAcentral lists this long non-coding RNA (2771 nucleotides) under Heterocephalus glaber (naked mole-rat). RNAcentral's name for it is "lncRNA (ENSHGLG00000046880.1)". The record is from RNAcentral. Lineage: Eukaryota; Metazoa; Chordata; Mammalia; Rodentia; Bathyergidae.
GCACCAUUAUCCGGGGCUCGUGGACACAGCAAAGCUCGUGGACGCAGUAAAGUCCGAGAAUUGGCACCUGGGUGCUUCUGAUUCUCGAGUCUGCAUCUCCUGGAAUUCCGAUGCAGAGCUCUCUAGGUCCCCGGCACUUCAGGUGCUAAGCAUAAGCUCCUAGGCGUCGCACCUACCACCUCAAAUAUUUCUCAGAUAUUAAGAUCCUACCAUGUGGUCCUCUGAGCUUCGUCUCUGGUGUCGGCUUCUUCCAUUUACUCCAACCAGGAGCACAUUCGCUCAUUCAGCCAGACAUGGCAGCAUUUCAGGACUUGGGGGGGGGGGGUGAGACAGGGUCUUGUUAUGUAGUCCAAUCUCUCUUGAACUCACUAUGUAGUCCAGAAUGGCCUGAACUUGCGAUUCCCCUCCCUCAGCCUCCCGAGUUUCGAGAUUACAGUUGUGUGGCACCACGCCUGACUGCAGUGUGAUCUUUUAAAAUCCAGACCUGCCUUGCUGGUCAACCAGGACCGCGUGUUCCUUCACGAGCCCGGAGCCCGACAGCCUCUCCUGCAUCCUCACGCCGGGCUCUGGCCACGCCCCCCUGCCAGGGGCUCACCCGCGCCCCUCCUCGGCAGCUGCGCCUCGCCGGGCCUCUCCGGGCCUCGCCGGGCCCCGGGAGGGGAAGGGGCUCCACCUGCGCGCCACCUGCUGGGCCGCCCGACCUCCCGCAGACCCGGCCAGACCUCGGCGAAGCUCACGCCUCCGGGCUGCACAUCCGCGCCGGCCGCAAGCUCCAGGACGCGGCGGCGAGCCUGAGCCGCUGCGCAUGCGCGCAGGUGCGCGUGCACGCAACAGCCCGCACGCACCGGCACGCACGCGCCCGGCCAGUGAGACUAGGAAGGACAGGUUUGGGUUUGGGGUUUUUUGUUUGUUUGUUUGUUUGUUUGGGGGGGCCUUCGCGCUGAGCUGCAUCCUCGGCCCUUUUUAUUUGCCGACAGAAUCUGGAUGAGUCAGGCAAUCAUAAGCCUGGGGAAGCGUGUACUGUACUGUGUAAUAAUGAAGACAGCAGUUAUCCGCACUUUGAAAGCAAGUUUUGCAAAAUAGUUACGCACUUCCUUUGAGUCCUUUCUGGCCUCUUACUUGAGGUUCGGGUUCCCCUUCUGUGGCACAGCCUGUCCUGUGUGGACCCAGUAUGGCCGCUGAGGCUGCAGGGAGCUGUUGCGGGGCAUUUGUCCUUUCCCCAAGGUCGCUCCCUUGAAUGUGAUGAGUUCUAAUAAGCCACAUCCUGUAGGACAUCAGCACACCUUUGGGGGCAACACAGGACUGAGAUGUAGCCUGCACAGAGGCUGUCCUGGACACAGAAGCAGGUGAAUUGCUGGCCCACAAUGCAGCCUCAUAGAUCUGUGCCGAGCGGAUCCAAGGGACCAGGGUAGGUGCUGUUGCCUCCACUCACAGUGAGGAGAACAGAGCCCGGCUGUGAUGCUGCUCUGAAGAAGACCGUGCGGCUCGCGCUUAGUCGGGGAUGGGCAGGAAGCGGACGGCGGUAGGCAAUACCGGCGCUUGGGUUGGGGCUCUCAGAACUGGAGCCCUUCCUCCUGACCCCGGCCUCCCAGAGCUCCUGGUCUGAAGCUGAAAUACAGCGAGUGGGUCAGAGACCCCCAGGAAGGGCUGAGGGAGGCGCGGGCGGAGGAGGCCCUGAUCCGGAGAGCCAGCCAGUGCCCGGUACUUCUGAGAGUCCACAGCCCCAGCCCUAAAAGGAGGUCUGCUGGUUUACUUAGGAGAGGCUCCACGGCUGGCACCAGUCACUUCUGACACAUUAGAUAAAGUCUGUCAUUGUGGCAUCUGAGUUCAAGGUUUUACUUCACCUUGAGCAGGAAAACGCAUUUUGCAGCUAGAUCCAUUCACUUCCCAUGGUCUUCAUUUCUCAGAACCAGUUUAUCCAGGCCAAGGCAGACCUUCGUCCAGCCUGAAGAAAACAGCCAUUAAUGAUAGUUAACAUAUUAAUUGCAGAGUGCUUCUCUCUAAGUUUCUGUUGGCAACAAGUUGCAGCCCAGCAGAGCCAGUGAAGUGCAUCCAGCUUCCAUUUACAACCUCUGGGCGGGCUUUUCAUCUUCAUGCUUCAGGAUUUUCAUUAUUAUGGUUGCCAACAGUCCAGGCCUGUAAUUUACAAGUCAGACCCACAUGUCACUUCGAGAGAAACUCAAUCCUAAAAAUAGUCGUGAAACUCAGGAAAACACCAACCCAGAUAAAUAAAUCUCAUGUCAAAUGUAGAAAGCUUGUAAACCCUAGGCUCAGGGUUACACUAACUACUUAAAUUUCAACUGAUUUUAGCAAGUACAUCCACCAGCCCAGGGGAGGUGGCGAAGAUGCUCCCCCUCAGUGUUUUGCUUUCUUCUGUCUGUGACUGUUCAUUCAUUUCUUAGGUAAAAUACUGCUCUUUCUACAACAGCCAGGGUGAAACUUCCAUUUGGACGACAUUCUCCCAAAAUGUUGCACCAUUAAAGGCCAAGAUUCCUCUGACACCGUGUGGUGAGCUUUCCCUGAACGUGAGCAAGUGGCAGCUCCAUAGCCCACCUCAGUGGGGCGCUCUCUGGUCAGAGGUCCAAAGUGAGUUUCACUGGACAAACAUCAAGGUGUCAGUAGGUUGGGGCACUGCGACUCAAGCCUGGGUUCCUGGUACUCUGGAGGUGAAGGUGGACAAUCUGAUCCUGGGAGUUCAAGACCAACCUGGACAACACAGCCAGAGCCUGUCUGUAAAAAUGUAAAUAAAAUCAAUUUAAAAAGAAAAUAAA